GGAGAGGUGCCAGAGUGGCCGAAUGGAGCUGACUGCUAAUCAGUUGUCUCCCGCAAGGGGGACCCAGGGUUCGAAUCCCUGCCUCUCCG
Molecule: transfer RNA, 89 nt
Filed under: Candidatus Omnitrophota bacterium
Lineage: Bacteria; Pseudomonadati; Candidatus Omnitrophota
Description: tRNA-Ser
Rfam family: tRNA
About the family: Transfer RNA (tRNA) molecules are approximately 80 nucleotides in length.
Source: RNAcentral